Molecule: transfer RNA, 64 nt
Filed under: Bicladodrilus sp. UPOL 000M35
Lineage: Eukaryota; Metazoa; Arthropoda; Insecta; Coleoptera; Rhagophthalmidae
Description: partial tRNA-Ser
Source: RNAcentral
AAAGAAACAUGUUAAUCAAAGUAAAGCUUCUAACUUAAAUUUUAAGCGGUGAAAUUCCGUUUAU